Non-coding RNA from Nylanderia fulva, 631 nucleotides. The record is from RefSeq and is a predicted model, not a curated record. NCBI's taxonomy places the organism in Eukaryota, Metazoa, Arthropoda, Insecta, Hymenoptera, Formicidae.
UCCGUAGUAUGUAACAUUGCAGUCGCGUGCUUGUACUCGUAGCGGUUGAAUUGGAGUUUGUGACGUGCGUGUAUCAUUGCAUUUUCUUCGAAGAACAUCUAUUCUUUGUAGCAUUGUUUCUUGUCAAAUUGACGGAUCUGAUAUCUACAAAUUCGCGAUUUUUCUUGCAUGUACGUACGUGAUGCGAUAAAAGAGAAAAGUAAAGUGACGUGUAACACAUGUGUAAGUGCAUAUGAGUGCCAUCUGAAAUUUCGAGAACCGAAAAAUCCUGCCUAAUAUUUCUGCGCUACGGACCUUGUUAUGUGAUAUCUCGAGGCAGUAGCAGGCAACAAUUUCAACUAUAAAGCUACAGCAAACUUUCGCGCACGUCAAGAUGCGAUAAAAAAGGCUGUGAUUAACUUAACUUUUUCAACAAUAUAAAUCGCAAUCUUAAAUCGAUUGAUUACUUUAGUAUAUUAAAUAUGAUAUGAAAUCAUUGAUUUCUUUAAAGAUUUUCCAAUGAUCGAUAUAUCGAUAUGGACUUUUCUUGUUCUUUAAUUAAAAGAAUUAAGAAUUAAAUUUGCAAUACGGCAAACUAAUCGAAAAAUGUUUUAUUAUUGAGAAGUGCACGCAACUAGAAGUUAAAAUAUAA